CUUGGGAAAUCCAUCUGGCAAACUUUGCUGCCUAUAAGAUAACAAUGUAGUAUACAACAGGAGGAAGAGUAAGAGAAAAAAUGAAGAAUGGAAGAUAAGUAUUUUUCCAGGAUAUUUUGAUCAAAUCUGAUACAUUUCUGCAAAAGUAUCACUUCAAGUUCCCAGGUUCUAGGAAUAACACUUACUUCACAAGAUAUCUCUGUAGUUAUGGCCUAUGCAGAGAAGCCAAG
RNAcentral lists this long non-coding RNA (230 nucleotides) under Crocodylus porosus (Australian saltwater crocodile). RNAcentral's name for it is "lncRNA (ENSCPRG00005004011.1)". Lineage: Eukaryota; Metazoa; Chordata; Crocodylia; Crocodylidae. The record is from RNAcentral.